RNAcentral lists this ribosomal RNA (230 nucleotides) under uncultured bacterium. RNAcentral's name for it is "partial 16S ribosomal RNA". It matches the Rfam family "Bacterial small subunit ribosomal RNA", at positions 15 to 239 of the family's 1533-position model. The record is from RNAcentral.
GAUCAUGGCUCAGGACGAACGCUGGCGGCGCGCCUAACACAUGCAAGUCGAACGAGCGAGAGAGAGCUUGCUUUCUCGAGCGAGUGGCGAACGGGUGAGUAACGCGUGAGGAACCUGCCUCAAAGAGGGGGACAACAGUUGGAAACGACUGCUAAUACCGCAUAAGCCCACGGCUCGGCAUCGAGCAGAAGGGAAAAGGAGUGAUCCGCUUUGAGAUGGCCUCGCGUCCG